This 253-nucleotide ribosomal RNA is filed under the name uncultured bacterium. Its description in RNAcentral is "partial 16S ribosomal RNA". It matches the Rfam family "Bacterial small subunit ribosomal RNA", at positions 524 to 776 of the family's 1533-position model. The record is from RNAcentral.
UACGGAGGAUCCAAGCGUUAUCCGGAUUUAUUGGGUUUAAAGGGUGCGUAGGCGGCUUUUUAAGUCAGGGGUGAAAGACGGUAGCUCAACUAUCGCAGUGCCUUUGAUACUGACGGGCUUGAAUGAACUAGAGGUAGGCGGAAUGAGACAAGUAGCGGUGAAAUGCAUAGAUAUGUCUCAGAACACCGAUUGCGAAGGCAGCUUACUAUGGUUUAAUUGACGCUGAGGCACGAAAACGUGGGGAUCAAACAGG